AUUGAACGCUGGCGGCAUGCCUAACACAUGCAAGUCGAACGAGUGGCGGACGGGUGAGUAAUGUCUGGGAAACUGCCUAAUGGAGGGGGAUAACUACUGGAAACGGUAGCUAAUACCGCAUACCAUCGGAUGUGCCCAGAGGGGAUUAGCUAGUCGGUGGGGGAACGGCUCACCUAGGCGACGAUCCCUAGCUGGUCUGAGAGGAUGACCAGCCACACUGGAACUGAGACACGGUCCAGACUCCUACGGGAGGCAGCAGUGGGGAAUAUUGCACAAUGGGCGCAAGCCUGAUGCAGCCAUGCCGCGUGUAUGAAGAAGGCCUUCGGGUUGUAAAGUACUGUCAGCGGGGAGGCGGUACCCGCAGAAGAAGCACCGGCUAACUCCGUGCCAGCAGCCGCGGUAAUAC
RNAcentral lists this ribosomal RNA (406 nucleotides) under uncultured bacterium. RNAcentral's name for it is "partial 16S ribosomal RNA". It matches the Rfam family "Bacterial small subunit ribosomal RNA", at positions 30 to 526 of the family's 1533-position model. The record is from RNAcentral.